Molecule: ribosomal RNA, 692 nt
Filed under: uncultured Fusobacteriota bacterium
Lineage: Bacteria; Fusobacteriati; Fusobacteriota
Description: bacterial SSU rRNA
Rfam family: Bacterial small subunit ribosomal RNA
Source: RNAcentral
GAUGAACGCUGACAGAAUGCUUAACACAUGCAAGUCGACUCGAGUCUUCGGACUUGGGUGGCGCACGGGUGAGUAACGCGUAAAGAACUUGCCUCUUAGACCGGGACAACAUCUGGAAACGGAUGCUAAUACCGGAUAUUAUGGUUUUUUCGCAUGGAGGAAUCAUGAAAGCUAGAUGCGCUAAGAGAGAGCUUUGCGUCCCAUUAGCUGGUUGGUGAGGUAACGGCCCACCAAGGCAAUGAUGGGUAGCCGGCCUGAGAGGGUGAACGGCCACAAGGGGGCUGAGACACGGCCCUUACUCCUACGGGAGGCAGCAGUGGGGAAUAUUGGACAAUGGACCGCAAGUCUGAUCCAGCAAUUCUGUGUGCACGAUGACGUUUUUCGGAAUGUAAAGUGCUUUCAGUCGGGAAGAAGUCAGUGACGGUACCGACAGAAGAAGCGACGGCUAAAUACGUGCCAGCAGCCGCGGUAAUACGUAUGUCGCAAGCGUUAUCCGGAUUUAUUGGGCGUAAAGCGCGUCUAGGCGGCAAGGAAAGUCUGAUGUGAAAAUGCGGAGCUCAACUCCGUAUGGCGUUGGAAACUGCCUUACUAGAGUACUGGAGAGGUAGGCGGAACUACAAGUGUAGAGGUGAAAUUCGUAGAUAUUUGUAGGAAUGCCGAUGGGGAAGCCAGCCUACUGGACAGAUACUGAC